This 250-nucleotide ribosomal RNA is filed under the name Proteus mirabilis. Its description in RNAcentral is "partial 23S ribosomal RNA". It matches the Rfam family "Bacterial large subunit ribosomal RNA", at positions 1775 to 2022 of the family's 2925-position model. The record is from RNAcentral. Lineage: Bacteria; Pseudomonadati; Pseudomonadota; Gammaproteobacteria; Enterobacterales; Morganellaceae. RNAcentral also lists the same sequence under 1 other name.
AGUCGAAGAUACCAGCUGGCUGCAACUGUUUAUUAAAAACACAGCACUGUGCAAACACGAAAGUGGACGUAUACGGUGUGACGCCUGCCCGGUGCUGGAAGGUUAAUUGAUGGGGUCAGCCGCAAGGCGAAGCUCCUGAUCGAAGCCCCAGUAAACGGCGGCCGUAACUAUAACGGUCCUAAGGUAGCGAAAUUCCUUGUCGGGUAAGUUCCGACCUGCACGAAUGGCGUAAUGAUGGCCAGGCUGUCUC